AAUAUUGCACAAUGGGCGCAAGCCUGAUGCAGCCAUGCCGCGUGUGUGAAGAAGGCCUUCGGGUUGUAAAGCACUUUCAGUCGUGAGGAAGGUAGUGUCGUUAAUAGCGGCAUUACUUGACGUUAGCGACAGAAGAAGCACCGGCUAACUCCGUGCCAGCAGCCGCGGUAAUA
Molecule: ribosomal RNA, 173 nt
Filed under: uncultured Vibrio sp.
Lineage: Bacteria; Pseudomonadati; Pseudomonadota; Gammaproteobacteria; Vibrionales; Vibrionaceae
Description: partial 16S ribosomal RNA
Rfam family: Bacterial small subunit ribosomal RNA
Source: RNAcentral